AUUGAACGCUGGCGGCAGGCUUAACACAUGCAAGUCGAGCGAGCGGCGGACGGGUGAGUAAUGUCUGGGAAACUGCCUGAUGGAGGGGGAUAACUACUGGAAACGGUAGCUAAUACCGCAUCCCAUUAGAUGUGCCCAGAUGGCAUUAGCUAGUAGGUGGGGUAAUGGCUAACCUAGGCGACGAUCCCUAGCUGGUCUGCGAGGAUGACCAGCCAAACGGGAACUGAGACACGGUCCAGAAUCGUACGGGAGGCAGUAGUGGGGAAUAUUGCACAAUGGGGGAAAUCCGGAGGCAGCCAUGCCGCGUGUGUGAAGAAGGCCUUCGGGUUGUAAAGCACUUUCAGCGAGGAGGCGUUACUCGCAGAAGAAGCACCGGCUAACUCCGUGCCAGCAGACGCGGUAAUUC
Molecule: ribosomal RNA, 406 nt
Filed under: uncultured bacterium
Lineage: Bacteria
Description: partial 16S ribosomal RNA
Rfam family: Bacterial small subunit ribosomal RNA
Source: RNAcentral